ACUGUGGUAAUUCUAGAGCUAAUACAUGCUAAAAACCUCGACUUCGGAAGGGGUGUAUUUAUUAGAUUAAAAACCAAUGCCCUUCGGGGCUCCUUGGUGAUUCAUAAUAACUUAACGAAUCGCAUGGCCUUGCGCCGGCGAUGGUUCAUUCAAAUUUCUGCCCUAUCAACUUUCGAUGGUAGGAUAGUGGCCUACCAUGGUAUCAACGGGUAACGGGGAAUUAGGGUUCUAUUCCGGAGAGGGAGCCUGAGAAACGGCUACCACAUCCAAGGAAGGCAGCAGGCGCGCAAAUUACCCAAUCCCGACACGGGGAGGUAGUGACAAUAAAUACUGAUACAGGGUUCUUUUGGAUCUUGUAAUUGGAAUGAGUACAAUGUAAAUACCUUAACGAGGAACAAUUGGAGGGCAAGUCUGGUGCCAGCAGCCGCGGUAAUUCCAGCUCCAAUAGCGUAUAUUAAAGUUGUUGCAGUUAAAAAGCUCGUAGUUGAACCUUGGAUCUGGCUGAUCUGUCCUCCUAAUCGAGCGCACGGAUUCGGCUGGAUCUUUCCUUCUGGGGAGCCUUAUGCCCUUCACUGGGCGUAAUGGGGAACCAGGACUUUUACUUUGAAAAAAUUAGAGUGUUCAAAGCAGGCCUUUGCUCGAAUACAUUAGCAUGGAAUAAUAGAAUAGGACAUCGGUUCUAUUUUGUUGGUUUCUAGGACCGCUGUAAUGAUUAAUAGGGAUAGUCGGGGGCGUCAGUAUUCAAUUGUCAGAGGUGAAAUUCUUGGAUUUAUUGAAGACUAACUACUGCGAAAGCAUUCGCCAAGGAUGUUUUCAUUAAUCAGUGAACGAAAGUUAGGGGAUCGAAGACGAUCAGAUACCGUCGUAGUCUUAACCAUAA
Molecule: ribosomal RNA, 880 nt
Filed under: fungal endophyte
Lineage: Eukaryota; Fungi
Description: SSU rRNA
Rfam family: Eukaryotic small subunit ribosomal RNA
Source: RNAcentral